UUCUCAUGAUGCUCGAUCAGUAUGCAGGAACACCAUCUACAAGAUGACACGUAAAUGUUGAUAUUCCCAGGAUGAAAGCAAUGUUGGACAGAGUCAGAAACCAACCAUACGAAUUGAAGUACUCAAUCCCGGACAAACUCCGUGGGAGAAAGUGGAGACAACCAUCAGUUCCCUAGAAGGAAUAGACCCUGCUAACACUCUG
This is a long non-coding RNA of Hordeum vulgare subsp. vulgare (domesticated barley), 202 nucleotides long. RefSeq lists it as uncharacterized. The transcript is spliced from 3 exons. The record is from RefSeq and is a predicted model, not a curated record. NCBI's taxonomy places the organism in Eukaryota, Viridiplantae, Streptophyta, Magnoliopsida, Poales, Poaceae.